RNAcentral lists this ribosomal RNA (378 nucleotides) under Triticum aestivum (bread wheat). Its description in RNAcentral is "partial small subunit ribosomal RNA". The record is from RNAcentral. Lineage: Eukaryota; Viridiplantae; Streptophyta; Magnoliopsida; Poales; Poaceae.
AUGGAGGCGGAUAAGGGAAAAGAUGUCGACUUUGUUGAUGAAGACAAGGAGCAGGCGGAGAUCCAAGCCGCGGCUCGAAAGUGGGACGACAUUAUGCGGUCGAGGAUCGAUUUAAUGCGGCGACUUGGCCAACCCGUCAGGCUUUUCUACCCCAACAAUCCGGUGGAUCCUCGCAUCCUCCUCAAUCGAGAGAGCAACUGCGACAAGAUCGACACGGGCGCCGGGUAUGAACCCUCAACUCUCCAAGUUCCUUCCCUCUUUUUUUAUGCGGUUCCAUCUCUCAGGGGUUGUUUGGAUCUCAGUUUGACCUCUAAAAAACUUGUCUGUUUAGAGUCUAGAUUCGGAGUACUACUCCGAUUGUUUCCUCACAAGAUCUGA